Molecule: long non-coding RNA, 1970 nt
Filed under: Marmota monax (woodchuck)
Lineage: Eukaryota; Metazoa; Chordata; Mammalia; Rodentia; Sciuridae
Source: RNAcentral
UAUAUCACUGCAAAAAAAAAAUCACUUAAAACGAGGACAGAGUGCGACACAUAAAGGCGCUAGUCAUCUGGAAGGCCUGCUUCCUGGGCCCUGGGGCUCUGCCAGGCCUUGUUGCUGUCAGCCCUUCCGAGCAGGAACUGGCUCAGGACGGUGGACUGGGCCGCUGGCCUGCUUGCUUCCUUUCAUGCCCUCUCCUGGCAGGGCCUGGGGCCCUUUCAUCUCCCCCGCUCCCGCCGUGCCUGCAUGGGAAGUUGUGGCAUGUUCUCCUGGUGUCCUCAGAAGCAGCUCGGAGGCCGCCGUGCUCACAGUGAUCAGCUGCCCAGAGGCCCCUUCACGCCAACCUCCCCCACAGGGCAGGCUGUGCUCGAUGCCAUUGCCAUCGCACCCCUUGGCCUCCACUGCCAGGGCAGACCCACCAGGAUUCCUGAUCAUGCAGGGAGCUGAGUGACACUGAGGCCUUAAGCUCCCCCAGUCUUGCCCCCAAAUGCAGUCACCAGCAAGUUCUCCAUCAUCCAAGUCCAAGGGCACAAUUGUGGAUGACCAUCUGAGAGCUCUGGGGAGCAAAUGGUCCAGCCUCUGCAUUUGGCUAAGAGUGCUUUCCAUGAACAACAGCCUUGAUCUGUCACACUCUGUCAUAAUUUAAAGUGAUUUUUAUUUUGCACAAAUAUAUUUUUAUUCAACAUUAAUUGUGCUUUAUCAUCAUAGCCUGUCUCUGUCUCCCUUUCUCUCCUUUAACUUGAAUAUCUGUAUCCUGAGAGGGAAACCCUUAAAUGAUUUUCUGAAAGAGACUGAAUUUCUGGGUCCAUUGCUAUCAUGGUAUCAGAACUCACACCAACAAGGCAUCAAACUGCCCUGAAGAGUUUCCUGGCAAGAAGCUUCACAACACCUUAAUCAGUACACUGUAAUAGGUCACCAUGAUAAGAUCCACCAACAAACCCACCACAGUACUUUGAUCAAAUGGUGAUGACUCUGAAAAUCUGAAUGUGUUGCUGAGGGAGUGUUGUCAUCAGGGUGAUACUUUGUGCUGGAGCCUGACUGUGCUCAGAAACUCACCUUCCUUUGGAGCAGAGACUGGAUACUUUCAUGCCAAAAGAAACUCCCAAUGGUAAUGUUGAUGCCAUCAAAUCUCAGCCACAGCCUUGCAUGUCCACCCGUACCCCAGGUCUGAGUGUGUGCACCUAGACUCUUCAAGUUGGUAUCUGAAGGCUGAGUAACAAGGCCAGACACUGCAGUCACUUCCAACCAGAACCAUGCAAUGGUCAUGCUUUGACCUACAUCCAAUCUGAUCUCACCUGUUAACUUCUAAAAAGUCUUCAGCUUGGAUAGAAGUGCAAGACUGGAACACUGGCUACUUAUUUUCCUUGUUUCUCCACUCUUCACACUACGCUGGCUUUUCACAUAUGAAAUACAACAGAUGCCAAACUCCCAGAAUUUCAGGCUCAACUAAAUCAAAUAGUUUUCUGUCCUUUACAGAUGCUUCUUCUCCUUCACAGAUGUUUGCUUCUGAGCUUAAUUUGAAAGAGCACAAUCACAAUUCUUUUCAAAGCACUUAAUCUGUUCACUAGUUGAGACUGAUCCCACAUCACCUCUCAGAAACAUUUCUUUCCUUGGACUCUUGAAGAAUCAGUUUGGACUGACUGGCAAAAGCCAGUCUUAUUGGCAAAAGCCUGGUAGGACUGGUAAGAGCCCUGAACACAUCAGAAGAGUCCUGGAGAUGUAGUUGAAAGAUACUCAAUUCUCCAAGCAGGGACUCAGGCCAAGUAUGUGAGUUCAGUGCUGAUUGUCUUCCCAGUGCUAGCUUGUCCCACAAACCGGGCACAAACCACAGAGUGGGGGAGGUCCUUGGGUGGAUUCUCGCCCUAGAGGGAAGUGUUUCUGGUUUUUGCUCCUCGACUGUCCAUUGUGCAAAAAAAACUGUGAACACAGUGAAGAACUCAAACCCUGAAGGAACAGACUGUAAGCCUUUGGAG